RNAcentral lists this ribosomal RNA (467 nucleotides) under uncultured bacterium. RNAcentral describes it as "partial 16S ribosomal RNA". It matches the Rfam family "Bacterial small subunit ribosomal RNA", at positions 28 to 507 of the family's 1533-position model. The record is from RNAcentral.
GAUGAACGCUGGCGGCGUGCUUAACACAUGCAAGUCGAACGAUGAAGCCCAGCUUGCUGGGUGGAUUAGUGGCGAACGGGUGAGUAACACGUGAGCAACCUGCCCCUGACUCUGGGAUACGCGCUGAAAACGGCGUCUAAUACUGGAUAUUUCCCGUCACCGCCUGGUUUGCGGGUGGAAAGAUUUUUCGGUUGGGGAUGGGCUCGCGGCCUAUCAGCUUGUUGGUGAGGUAAUGGCUCACCAAGGCGUCGACGGGUAGCCGGCCUGAGAGGGUGACCGGCCACACUGGGACUGAGACACGGCCCAGACUCCUACGGGAGGCAGCAGUGGGGAAUAUUGCACAAUGGGCGGAAGCCUGAUGCAGCAACGCCGCGUGAGGGAUGACGGCCUUCGGGUUGUAAACCUCUUUUAGCAGGGAAGAAGCGAAAGUGACGGUACCUGCAGAAAAAGCACCGGCUAACUACGUG